UUUAAGUAUAUCAUUUACAAUGAUAAGAUGUUAUUAAACUUUAUUUAAGUUAAAAUUAUUAAUAUUUUUAUUUUUUAUUGA
RNAcentral lists this transfer RNA (81 nucleotides) under Hydronaphis impatiens. RNAcentral's name for it is "tRNA-Val". The record is from RNAcentral. Lineage: Eukaryota; Metazoa; Arthropoda; Insecta; Hemiptera; Aphididae.